This 329-nucleotide unclassified non-coding RNA is filed under the name soil metagenome. RNAcentral's name for it is "partial contains 5.8S ribosomal RNA, internal transcribed spacer 2, and large subunit ribosomal RNA". The stretch from base 1 to 120 matches the Rfam family "5.8S ribosomal RNA", at positions 35 to 154 of the family's 154-position model. The record is from RNAcentral.
GAUGAAGAACGUAGCGAAAUGCGAUAAGUAGUGUGAAUUGCAGAAUUCAGUGAAUCAUCGAAUCUUUGAACGCACAUUGCGCCCCCUGGUAUUCCGGGGGGCAUGCCUGUCCGAGCGUCAUUACAACCCUCAAGCUCAGCUUGGUAUUGGGCCCCGCCGCUCCGGCGGGCCCUAAAGUCAGUGGCGGUGCCGUCCGGCUCCGAGCGUAGUAAUUCUUCUCGCUCUGGAGGCCCGGUCGUGUGCUCGCCAGCAACCCCCAAUUUUUUUCAGGUUGACCUCGGAUCAGGUAGGGAUACCCGCUGAACUUAAGCAUAUCAAUAAGCGGAGGA